GGACUAACGCCGAUAUGCUUCGGGGAGCUGUAAGUAAGCUUUGAUCCGAAGAUUUCCGAAUGGGGAAACCCACCAUACGUAAUGGUAUGGUAUCCUUAUCUGAAUACAUAGGGUAAGGAAGACAGACCCAGGGAACUGAAACAUCUAAGUACCUGGAGGAAGAGAAAGCAAAUGCGAUUUCCUGAGUAGCGGCGAGCGAAACGGAACAUAGCCCAAACCAAGAGGCUUGCCUCUUGGGGUUGUAGGACAUUCUAUACGGAGUUACAAAGGAACGAGGUAGACGAAGCGACCUGGAAAGGGCCGUCGUAGAGGGUAACAACCCCGUAGUCGAAACUUCGUUCUCUCUUGAAUGUAUCCUGAGUACGGCGGAACACGUGAAAUUCCGUCGGAAUCUGGGAGGACCAUCUCCCAAGGCUAAAUACUCCCUAGUGAUCGAUAGUGAACCAGUACCGUGAGGGAAAGGUGAAAAGCACCCCGGAAGGGGAGUGAAAGAGAUCCUGAAACCGUGUGCCUACAAAUAGUCAGAGCCCGUUAA
This 535-nucleotide ribosomal RNA is filed under the name Bacillus anthracis (anthrax bacterium). RNAcentral's name for it is "bacterial LSU rRNA". It matches the Rfam family "Bacterial large subunit ribosomal RNA", at positions 59 to 587 of the family's 2925-position model. The record is from RNAcentral. Lineage: Bacteria; Bacillati; Bacillota; Bacilli; Caryophanales; Bacillaceae.